CUUGUCAUGCCUAUAUAUGCUGCUUUCCUAUGUGUGUCUUGAUAUUCGAAUGGUAUUUUAUAUAUACCUGAUUUUUCUAAGUUUUCUCUUUUAUCCUUUUCAUUCCUUAGGCUAUUGAAUAUAUUCGAUGUUCUUUUGUAUGCCAGUUUUCUUCCUGUGUUCCUUGCUAUGAACACUGCAUUAGCAACUGAGGCAUGUAAUGCAGACCUAGUGAUGGAUUGGCACAGCACCAGGAUCGUGGGGCACGUUGGAGGCGAGGCGCAGGCCUUGAUGGCGGAAAUGAUUGGGAUGUCGGGGGGAAGGGAGACGGAAGGCAUUGUCAGUGGUGGACCAUCGGUGGAGUUGCCAUCAGCGUGGAAGUAUAUCCUAAGGAAGACAACCUA
Molecule: long non-coding RNA, 383 nt
Filed under: Androctonus crassicauda
Lineage: Eukaryota; Metazoa; Arthropoda; Arachnida; Scorpiones; Buthidae
Source: RNAcentral